GCGGAUGUGGCGGAAUGGCAGACGCGCCAGACUUAGGAUCUGGUAUUUAACGAUGUGGGGGUUCAAGUCCCUUCAUCCGCACCA
This 84-nucleotide transfer RNA is filed under the name Clostridia bacterium. RNAcentral's name for it is "tRNA-Leu". It matches the Rfam family "tRNA". Rfam says of the family: Transfer RNA (tRNA) molecules are approximately 80 nucleotides in length. The record is from RNAcentral. Lineage: Bacteria; Bacillati; Bacillota; Clostridia.